GUGAAUCAUCGAAUUUUUGAACGCAAAUUGCACUAUCUUCGGAGAGUAUGCUUGUGUGAGGGUCAGCGUAUAAAAAUAGAAAUCGAUGUUGUUUCGCGGUGGGGUUUGACGGAAAGUGGGUCAUCUUAAAUGCUUUUGAUUUAAGCGACUUAAAAUUUUCUUUUGGUUUUAUGAAUGUUUCUAAGAUAUAUUUUUUUACACGUUUAAGGUAUCGAUUGUUACUCGACGUGACCAUCAUAUCGGAUAGCGUCCAU
This 254-nucleotide unclassified non-coding RNA is filed under the name Glomus sp. Its description in RNAcentral is "partial contains 5.8S ribosomal RNA and internal transcribed spacer 2". The stretch from base 1 to 65 matches the Rfam family "5.8S ribosomal RNA", at positions 84 to 154 of the family's 154-position model. The record is from RNAcentral. Lineage: Eukaryota; Fungi; Glomeromycota; Glomeromycetes; Glomerales; Glomeraceae.